CGCGGGGUAGAGCAGAGGCAGCUCGUCGGGCUCAUAACCCGGAGGUCGCAGGUUCGAAUCCUGCCCCCGCAA
This 72-nucleotide transfer RNA is filed under the name Pseudomonadota bacterium. RNAcentral describes it as "tRNA-Met". It matches the Rfam family "tRNA". Rfam says of the family: Transfer RNA (tRNA) molecules are approximately 80 nucleotides in length. Their secondary structure includes four short double-helical elements and three loops (D, anti-codon, and T loops). Lineage: Bacteria; Pseudomonadati; Pseudomonadota. RNAcentral also lists the same sequence under 1 other name. The record is from RNAcentral.